UACAGAGGGUGCAAACGUUGUUCGGAAUCACUGGGCAUAAAGCGUACGUAGGCUGCGCCGUAAGUGUCGGAUGAAAUCCCACGGCUUACCCGUGGAACGGUCCGGCAUACUGCGGUGCUAGAGGAUGGUAGAGGAGAGCGGAACUCUUGGUGGAGCGGUGAAAUGCGUAGAUAUCAAGAGGAAUACCAGAGGCGAAGGCGGCUACCUGGACAAUUGCUGACGCUCAGGCACGAAAGCGUGGGGAGCAAAAGGG
Molecule: ribosomal RNA, 253 nt
Filed under: uncultured bacterium
Lineage: Bacteria
Description: partial 16S ribosomal RNA
Rfam family: Bacterial small subunit ribosomal RNA
Source: RNAcentral